GUGCUCAUUUCCAUAACACAUAUUCUAAAAUUGGAACAGUACAGAGCAUGGCCCCUGGGCAAGGAUGACAAGUGAAUCUGUGAAAUGUUAAGGGGGGAAAUUAAU
Molecule: small nuclear RNA, 105 nt
Organism: Ictidomys tridecemlineatus (thirteen-lined ground squirrel)
Lineage: Eukaryota; Metazoa; Chordata; Mammalia; Rodentia; Sciuridae
Source: Ensembl